GAAACUCCACAGAUUUCCUACACAUGCUUUCCAACCCCACAGCCACAUGGUUUCAGACCCCAGACAAGUCAGGGGAAAGAGAAUGUGUUGUUCUUAGAAAUAACCAGACAGUCUGACAAAACAUUUAAUUCUUUUUGGUGUGUGGCACAGAGUAGGAUGGAUGUUUUGCCUUGAUCAUAACCUAAAACAAUCAUGUUGUGUAAUAUUUCUCCUAAUAUUCUCAAAGGAAUCAAGUGUACUCUGCAUGCUAAUGAGUGGAAGGCAUGGCACUGCCCACAGGUCCAGGAACAGCGCUGCAUAGACUGUGGGACCAGACCACGUGGGUUCUAGUACUGGCUCUGUCUUACUCCGUGUGAUCUUGGACAGGUGACCCAAACCUGUCCAGGCCUCAGAUUUUGUAUCUGGGAUAUAAGACUGGAUUGCCAUGUGGAUUAAAAGAGAUGAUGCAGACAAAGUACAAGCAUCUGGGACUCUGAAUGAGGAAGAAAUGUGCAUCUGUUGAGGAACCAGGAGCCAGACAUUAAGAGGGAGAACUAUGCUCUUAAGGGUAGAGAACACAAGAUUCCACUCAUCCUGAAGAAGGGUAAGCUUACUACUUUAUGUUAAAGACAUGCCAACUUCAUAGCAUCAGCACCAGGCCUAAUGUCCUUCCUGUGUUAGGUGUUUACACUGUUAUUUAAUUAAU
Molecule: long non-coding RNA, 685 nt
Organism: Nyctereutes procyonoides (raccoon dog)
Lineage: Eukaryota; Metazoa; Chordata; Mammalia; Carnivora; Canidae
Exons: 3
Source: RefSeq, a predicted model, not a curated record